Orcinus orca (killer whale) is the source of this 691-nucleotide long non-coding RNA. RefSeq lists it as uncharacterized. NCBI's taxonomy places the organism in Eukaryota, Metazoa, Chordata, Mammalia, Artiodactyla, Delphinidae. The record is from RefSeq and is a predicted model, not a curated record. The transcript has 3 exons.
GAGGACGUGGGCAGAAGACAGUGUCUACAAGCCCAGGGGAGAGGCCUCGGGAGGAACCAGCACUUGACCUUGGACUUCCCGCCUCCAGAAUGCGGGCCCUGCACAUGAACUCCAACCCUUGAGUAAAGUAAAUUGGGAGACACCAAGGCUCAAAUAGCAAAUAGAAGCUCCAGGAACACAGAACACAGGAGGAGCGGGGCAUGGAGAAGAAGCCCCGCCCCCGCCCCACCCCACACCCUGGCGGGUCCCACAGCUACCUGCCGUCACCUGCUGUGUGCCAAGCACUGCCCCCUCCACAGCCCCGCCCCUGUCAUCAGAUUGAUCCGGUGGAGAGGUCAGUGGGGGCCAGCCGUGCCUGACUGUUUCCUAUGCCAGAGCCCAACCUGGACCCGGAGCCUCAGAGCGGGCCCCCGGGCAUCAAGGUCACACGUCCAGGUAAAGAGUUUUCCUUGUGGGAGUCCCUUGUCCGUGUCACCGUCCACUGCCCACAGCUCUGUCUCCAUCCACAUCCGGGGCGAGGGGAUCAGACAGGCUGCCUCCAACCCUGAGGCCAGACAAGGAAACACAGCUCGGGGUGGACAUAGCAACCAGGCCAAAAAUGCUGCCUCAGUGCCUCAGCCUCUACCAGGGACGGAAGCUGAAGAAGUGCUCCUAUCCGGAGCCCUAAGCCACCUCCGAGCACAGAAGUGCA